This 433-nucleotide long non-coding RNA is filed under the name Ananas comosus (pineapple). RNAcentral's name for it is "long non-coding RNA (ACOM_LNC007809)". The record is from RNAcentral. Lineage: Eukaryota; Viridiplantae; Streptophyta; Magnoliopsida; Poales; Bromeliaceae.
UUAUACAGUAUCAAAGUUUCUUCUACAAUAUAAUUGGGAAGAAUAAGCAUAGAGUUGGGAGAUAGUAAUGUAGAUAAAUUACUAAGCCUCCGUUUGGUUCGGGGUUAAGAAAAAAGUAGUUAUUCCAGGAAUAGAGUUAAGUUCGGGGUUAAAGUGGGGUUAAAAUUUUUUUGUGUUUGGUUGGGGGUUGGAGUUAGUCUAGAAUAAUAAAAAAUAGUGUUUGGUUAGAGUAGGUGAGAUAAGAAGAUAAUGAUUGAUAAAGAAGGAUAAUGAUUGGUUGGAGUAGGUGUGAUAAGAAAGAUAGUAGGUUAUUAUGAAUAAAAAAUAGUGUUUGGUUGGAGUUUGGUGGGGUUAGGUGGGGUUAACUAACCCGAGAUAAUUUAUUUGAGGUGGGGUUAGCUAAUCCCAUCCAUUUGUUAGGGUGUUUGAGGAU